This 245-nucleotide ribosomal RNA is filed under the name uncultured Melioribacter sp. RNAcentral's name for it is "partial 16S ribosomal RNA". It matches the Rfam family "Bacterial small subunit ribosomal RNA", at positions 524 to 768 of the family's 1533-position model. Lineage: Bacteria; Pseudomonadati; Ignavibacteriota; Ignavibacteria; Ignavibacteriales; Melioribacteraceae. The record is from RNAcentral.
UACGUAGGGGGCGAGCGUUGUCCGGAUUUACUGGGUGUAAAGGGCGCGUAGGCGGAUUUGUUAGUCAGGGGUGAAAUCUCACGGCUUAACCGUGAAACUGCCUCUGAUACUGCAAAUCUUGAGUUCGGAAGAGAGUAGCGGAAUUCCAGGUGUAGUAGUGAAAUACGUAGAUAUCUGGAAGAACACCAGUGGCGAAGGCGGCUACUUGGUCCGUAACUGACGCUGAGGCGCGAAAGCGUGGGGAG